GACGAACGCUGGCGGCGUGCCUAAUACAUGCAAGUAGAACGCACAGUUUAUACCGUAGCUUGCUACACCAUAAACUGUGAGUUGCGAACGGGUGAGUAACGCGUAGGUAACCUGCCUGGUAGCGGGGGAUAACUAUUGGAAACGAUAGCUAAUACCGCAUAAUAUUGAUUAUUGCAUGAUAAUUGAUUGAAAGAUGCUAUUGCAUCACUACCAGAUGGACCUGCGUUGUAUUAGCUAGUAGGUGAGGUAACGGCUCACCUAGGCGACGAUACAUAGCCGACCUGAGAGGGUGGUCGGCCACACUGGGACUGAGACACGGCCCAGACUCCUACGGGAGGCAGCAGUAGGGAAUCUUCGGCAAUGGACGAAAGUCUGACCGAGCAACGCCGCGUGAGGGAAGAAGGUUUUCGGAUCGUAAAGCUCUGUUGUAAGAGAAGAACGGGUGUGAGAGUGGAAAGUUCACACUGUGACGGUAACUUACCAGAAAGGGACGGCUAACUACGUG
RNAcentral lists this ribosomal RNA (505 nucleotides) under uncultured bacterium. RNAcentral describes it as "partial 16S ribosomal RNA". It matches the Rfam family "Bacterial small subunit ribosomal RNA", at positions 28 to 507 of the family's 1533-position model. The record is from RNAcentral.